ACAACAGUUCGUUCUAUCGCUGUUUCACUCAGUUGAGAGAGAGGAAAGUCCGGGCAACAUAGAGCACCAUACUUCCUAACGGGAAGGUAUUUUGAGCAAUCAGAAUAACAGCAAGUGCCACAGAAAAUAACCGCCACGAUUCGUUGGGGUAAGGGUGAAAAUGUGAGGCAAGAGCUCACGUUCAGUAUUGGCAACAGUGCAGAAGGGUAAACCUUAUGGGUUGAAAGACCAAAUAUACCGGUUGUUAAGGGCUGCUCGUCCGAUGCCGGGGGGUAGGUCGUUAGAAACUAUCGGCGACGGUAGUCUUAGAUAAAUGAUAGAAGUCUUUCAGGGGAUACAGAACCCGGCUUACAGAACUGUUGUUUUU
Molecule: RNase P RNA, 367 nt
Filed under: Bacteroidota bacterium
Lineage: Bacteria; Pseudomonadati; Bacteroidota
Description: Bacteroidetes bacterium (freshwater metagenome) RNase P RNA component class A
Rfam family: Bacterial RNase P class A
About the family: Ribonuclease P (RNase P) is a ubiquitous endoribonuclease, found in archaea, bacteria and eukarya as well as chloroplasts and mitochondria. Its best characterised activity is the generation of mature 5'-ends of tRNAs by cleaving the 5'-leader elements of precursor-tRNAs.
Source: RNAcentral